GAUGAACGCUGGCGGCGUGCCUAAUACAUGCAAGUCGAGCGAACUGAUUAGAAGCUUGCUUCUAUGACGUUAGCGGCGGACGGGUGAGUAACACGUGGGCAACCUGCCUGUAAGACUGGGAUAACUUCGGGAAACCGAAGCUAAUACCGGAUAGGAUCUUCUCCUUCAUGGGAGAUGAUUGAAAGAUGGUUUCGGCUAUCACUUACAGAUGGGCCCGCGGUGCAUUAGCUAGUUGGUGAGGUAACGGCUCACCAAGGCAACGAUGCAUAGCCGACCGGGGAGGGUGACCGGCCACACUGGGACUGAGACACGGCCCAGACUCCAGCGGGAGGCAGCAGUAGGGAAGCGUCCGCAAGGGACGAAAGUCUGACGGAGCAACGCCGCGUGAGUGAUGAAGGCUUUCGGGUCGUAAAACUCUGUUGUUAGGGAAGAACAAGUACGAGAGUAACUGCUCGUACCUUGACGGUACCUAACCAGAAAGCCACGGCUAACUACGUGCCAGCAGCCGCCGUAA
RNAcentral lists this ribosomal RNA (514 nucleotides) under uncultured bacterium. RNAcentral describes it as "partial 16S ribosomal RNA". It matches the Rfam family "Bacterial small subunit ribosomal RNA", at positions 28 to 523 of the family's 1533-position model. The record is from RNAcentral.